RNAcentral lists this ribosomal RNA (253 nucleotides) under uncultured bacterium. RNAcentral's name for it is "partial 16S ribosomal RNA". It matches the Rfam family "Bacterial small subunit ribosomal RNA", at positions 524 to 776 of the family's 1533-position model. The record is from RNAcentral.
UACAGAGGGGGCAAGCGUUGUUCGGAAUUACUGGGCGUAAAGGGCGCGUAGGCGGCCCGCUAAGUCGAACGUGAAAUCCCCGAGCUCAACUCGGGAACUGCGUCCGAUACUGGCGGGCUUGAAUCCGGGAGAGGGAUGCGGAAUUCCAGGUGUAGCGGUGAAAUGCGUAGAUAUUGGGAGGAACACCAGUGGCGAAGGCGGCUCACUGGACCGGAACUGACGCUGAGGCGCGAAAGCGUGGGGAGCAAACAGG